Molecule: ribosomal RNA, 160 nt
Filed under: uncultured bacterium
Lineage: Bacteria
Description: partial 16S rRNA
Rfam family: Bacterial small subunit ribosomal RNA
Source: RNAcentral
UGGGGAAUUUUGGACAAUGGGGGCAACCCUGAUCCAGCCAUGCCGCGUGAGUGAAGAAGGCCUUCGGGUUGUAAAGCUCUUUCAGCCGGAAAGAAAUCGCGCCAGCUAAUACCUGGUGUGGAUGACGGUACCGGAAGAAGAAGCACCGGCUAACUACGUG